UACGAAGGGUGCAAGCGUUACUCGGAAUUACUGGGCGUAAAGGGUGCGUAGGCGGCCCUGUAAGUAUGGUGUGAAAUCUCCCGGCUUAACUGGGAGGGUGCGCUAUAGACUGCGGGGCUCGAGUGUGGGAGAGGAAAGUGGAAUUCCUGGUGUAGCGGUGAAAUGCGUAGAUAUCAGGAGGAACACCGGUGGUGUAAACGGCUUUCUGGACCAUAACUGACGCUGAGGCACGAAAGCGUGGGUAGCAAACAGG
This 253-nucleotide ribosomal RNA is filed under the name uncultured bacterium. RNAcentral's name for it is "partial 16S ribosomal RNA". It matches the Rfam family "Bacterial small subunit ribosomal RNA", at positions 524 to 776 of the family's 1533-position model. The record is from RNAcentral.